This 58-nucleotide small RNA is filed under the name Arabidopsis thaliana (thale cress). RNAcentral describes it as "ATSL298920". Lineage: Eukaryota; Viridiplantae; Streptophyta; Magnoliopsida; Brassicales; Brassicaceae. The record is from RNAcentral.
UGAACUUGCGAUACAUAUAUAUAUAGAUGCGAGUACACCGGACUGUGAAAUUUUGGAA